UCGGAUGUGAAAUCCCCGGGCUCAACCUGGGAACUGCAUUCGAAACUGGCAGGCUUGAGUCUUGUAGAGGGGGGUAGAAUUCCAGGUGUAGCGGUGAAAUGCGUAGAGAUCUGGAGGAAUACCGGUGGCGAAGGCGGCCCCCUGGACAAAGACUGACGCUCAGGUGCGAAAGCGUGGGGAGCAAACAGGAUUAGAUACCCUGGUAGUCCACGCCGUAAACGAUGUCUACUUGGAGGUUGUGCCCUUGAGGCGUGGCUUCCGGAGCUAACGCGUUAAGUAGACCGCCUGGGGAGUACGGCCGCAAGGUUAAAACUCAAAUGAAUUGACGGGGGCCCGCACAAGCGGUGGAGCAUGUGGUUUAAUUCGAUGCAACGCGAAGAACCUUACCUGGUCUUGACAUCCACGGAAGUUUUCAGAGAUGAGAAUGUGCCUUCGGGAACCGUGAGACAGGUGCUGCAUGGCUGUCGUCAGCUCGUGUUGUGAAAUGUUGGGUUAAGUCCCGCAACGAGCGCAACCCUUAUCCUUUGUUGCCAGCGGUCCGGCCGGGAACUCAAAGGAGACUGCCAGUGAUAAACUGGAGGAAGGUGGGGAUGACGUCAAGUCAUCAUGGCCCUUACGACCAGGGCUACACACGUGCUACAAUGGCGCAUACAAAGAGAAGCGACCUCGCGAGAGCAAGCGGACCUCAUAAAGUGCGUCGUAGUCCGGAUUGGAGUCUGCAACUCGACUCCAUGAAGUCGGAAUCGCUAGUAAUCGUGGAUCAGAAUGCCACGGUGAAUACGUUCCCGGGCCUUGUACACACCGCCCGUCACACCAUGGGAGUGGGUUGCAAAAGAAGUAGGUAGCUUAACCUUCGGGAGGGCGCUUACCACUUUGUGAUUCAUGACUGGGGUGAAGUCGUAACAAGGUAACCGUAGGGGAACCUGCGGUUGGAUCACCUCCUUACCUUAAAGAAGC
This 957-nucleotide ribosomal RNA is filed under the name Salmonella enterica subsp. enterica serovar Typhi. RNAcentral's name for it is "bacterial SSU rRNA". It matches the Rfam family "Bacterial small subunit ribosomal RNA", at positions 588 to 1533 of the family's 1533-position model. Lineage: Bacteria; Pseudomonadati; Pseudomonadota; Gammaproteobacteria; Enterobacterales; Enterobacteriaceae. The record is from RNAcentral.